CCUGUGGCCGUUUUUGGGGUCCCCGUGUCCCUCAUGGGGGUCCCAUGUCCAUUUCUGGGGUCCCCGUGUCCCUCCCGGGGGUCCCCUUGUCUAUUUUUGGGGUCCCCGUGUCCAUGUUUGGGGUCCCAUGUCUGUCCUGGGCGUCCCCGUGUCCCUCCCGGGAGUCCCACGUCCAUUUUUGAGGUCCCCGUGUCAAUUUUGGGGUCCCCCUCUCUGUCCCGGGGGUCCCCGUGUCCAUUUUGAGGUCCCCAUGUCUGUCUUGAGGGUCCCUGUGUCCAUUUUUGGGGUCCCCACGUCCAUUUUGGUGUCCCAUCUCUGUCCCAGGGGUCCCCGUGUCUGUCCUGAGGGUCCCCGUGUCCAUUUUUGGGGUCCCCGUGUCAAUUUUUGGGGUCCCCAUGUCCAGUUUUGGGGUCCCUGUGUCCGUCCCGGGGAUCCCCAUGUCCGUCUCUCAGCGCUGUGCCUCAGUUUCCCCAUCUGCACAAGGGAUCGGUGCUGUGACACCCCCUCCCUCACUCAGGGCCCCGGGAGGGGGGAAAUGUCCCCCCACCCCAUAACCACAAGUGCCCUUACGGACUCCCCCGGAUUUUGGGGGUGUUGGAUGAAGCAAAUAAAGAACUGAACCCCAAAUUGCUGCCUGUGCCUGGGGAGGCUGGGACGGAAUUUGGGGUGGGUGUCGCAGUGUCCUCCACUUACCCUCCUGGCUGUAUGGGCUGGGGGAGUCUGGUACCCCCUAAUCUUGGGUGUGGGGAGGUUUCUGCUCUGUUCCCAGGCUUGGGGAGGGGGUGACCCCGCUGUACCCCCAGAGCCGCCCCCAUUUCUGAGCCCCUCCAUGCUCGUCCGCCCCAUUCCCCUCACAGCGCAGACCACGCCCCUUCCAGAGGCCGCGCCCCUUCCCCCGCCCCGCGCUCUCGCGCUGCUCUCCGGGAGUUGUAGUCCCAACAUCCCUCACCCCCCAGUACCUCGUAACCCGGUGCCUCCAUUUCCCAGCGCUCCCUGCGCAGCGCCCGCACAGACCGCUGGGAGUUGUAGUCCAGACGCUUAGUGCACCCUGCGGUUGGCACG
Molecule: long non-coding RNA, 1062 nt
Filed under: Geospiza fortis (medium ground-finch)
Lineage: Eukaryota; Metazoa; Chordata; Aves; Passeriformes; Thraupidae
Description: lncRNA (ENSGFOG00000013288.1)
Source: RNAcentral